ACUGCAAGCCUUGCAUACAUAGAGUAAUCUGCUAUAUACAGCCUACCAAGUUUGACUACUUCCUCAAAGGAAGCUUCCUGGUAGUGCCCUUUAAUACAGUUCCUCAUGUUGAAGUGGCGACCUCCACCCCAACCAUAACAUUAUUUUCCUUGCUACUUUAUAAGUGUAAUUUUGCUACUGCUAUGGAUUGUAAGUAUUUGACAUGUAGGAUAUCUGAUACGUGAUCCCUGUGAAAGGGCCACUGGAUUCCUUCCCAGUGGGGUCCAUACCCACAGGUUCAGAACUCCUUAUCUAGAGGAACCUGAAAGGUUAGUGAGAUUGUAAGAGUUCCACAGUGCUGUGAAAUUGAACAAGCAAUGAACCACAGAGAUGCGCUAAUUUGUUCACAAGGAACAAAGGAGUAAUUUCUUCCUCCUCUUUGGGUCUAUGAAAAGGUUCCUUGCAGUGGGGGUUUUGAGAUUUUAUUUCUACCAUCUUAUUUGUUAUUUCUACUAUCUUUUCCAAUAGGUCAUUUUCCCUUAAACCAUGAAGCGCCUCCAUUUAAUUGUGAGCACCUGAGUACCUCGCCCUUUAGGGAGAAUACAAAGUUCCUUCUGCAGUCUUCAUUGGCUUUGGACAGACUCUUUCUAUGGGUGCUAGUGGGCUGCACAGUCAGGCUUACUAGCGUGUUUUCCUUGCUGUCUGUCCUUUUGCCUCCAGGUUAUUAAAAGCAAUGGGGUGGCAGGAGUACCCUGAAAAUGAUGAGAGCUGCCUUCCACUCACAGAGGACGAGCUCAAGGAGUUCCACCUGAGAACAGAGCAGGUCUGUACUGAGCUCUAAGCCUUCAGUGACUCCCAGUGAAAUGUUUGCAGUGGCCUUGCCUUUAGGAAAUUUCUAGUGUUUAUUUGCAGUUUGGGGACCAGUUUUUGCUGACGGGAUCUCGACAGGUACAUGCCUUUAUUCCCAGCCUGGGCUUACAGAGUUCUAUGUCUCAAAACUGUAAAACAGACC
RNAcentral lists this long non-coding RNA (991 nucleotides) under Mus musculus (house mouse). RNAcentral describes it as "long non-coding RNA chr4:116590529-116591520". The record is from RNAcentral. Lineage: Eukaryota; Metazoa; Chordata; Mammalia; Rodentia; Muridae.